Rhodocollybia butyracea is the source of this 97-nucleotide non-coding RNA. The record is from the annotation of a GenBank genome assembly. NCBI's taxonomy places the organism in Eukaryota, Fungi, Basidiomycota, Agaricomycetes, Agaricales, Omphalotaceae.
GCCCCCGUUGUCUAAUGGUUAUGAUAUCAGACUUCUAUCUACCAUGAGGAAUGCAUCGAGAAUCUGAAGGUUGCGGGUUCGAGUCCCGCCGGGGGUU